Molecule: ribosomal RNA, 469 nt
Filed under: Pichia kudriavzevii
Lineage: Eukaryota; Fungi; Ascomycota; Pichiomycetes; Pichiales; Pichiaceae
Description: eukaryotic LSU rRNA
Rfam family: 5.8S ribosomal RNA (bases 69-221)
Source: RNAcentral
AAACAACAACACCUAAAAUGUGGAAUAUAGCAUAUAGUCGACAAGAGAAAUCUACGAAAAACAAACAAAACUUUCAACAACGGAUCUCUUGGUUCUCGCAUCGAUGAAGAGCGCAGCGAAAUGCGAUACCUAGUGUGAAUUGCAGCCAUCGUGAAUCAUCGAGUUCUUGAACGCACAUUGCGCCCCUCGGCAUUCCGGGGGGCAUGCCUGUUUGAGCGUCGUUUCCAUCUUGCGCGUGCGCAGAGUUGGGGGAGCGGAGCGGACGACGUGUAAAGAGCGUCGGAGCUGCGACUCGCCUGAAAGGGAGCGAAGCUGGCCGAGCGAACUAGACUUUUUUUCAGGGACGCUUGGCGGCCGAGAGCGAGUGUUGCGAGACAACAAUAAGCUCGACCUCAAAUCAGGUAGGAAUACCCGCUGAACUUAAGCAUAUCAAUAAGCGGAGGAAAAGGAUCAUUACUGUGAUUUAGUA